RNAcentral lists this long non-coding RNA (651 nucleotides) under Salvia miltiorrhiza (redroot sage). RNAcentral's name for it is "long non-coding RNA (SMIL_LNC011646)". The record is from RNAcentral. Lineage: Eukaryota; Viridiplantae; Streptophyta; Magnoliopsida; Lamiales; Lamiaceae.
UUGGAUUGAAUUCUAUAAAUUUAUUUUUUGAAUUGGAUAUUGAAAGUUAUUUUGCCUUACAAAAUUUAAUGGGAUUUUGGCAAAUAAAAUCACGAACUAUUUCGAAUUUACAAUUUUAACGUGACUUCUGAGUGUUGAAUUGGAACUUACGUGGAUUAGUAAAAAGACGACGUCGUUUUUGUGAGGCCUAAACGACGUCGGUUUUGUGAGGCCUAAACGACGUCGUUUCCUACAAUUUCAAUUAAAAAAAUCUUCAAAUUAUAGAACUGUAUCCUAUAUUUGCAACAUAAUUUUCAAUAUUUAGUAAUUUUAUUGCAAAAUACAUCGUAACAUGAAUAUUACAUGGAGAACUAAUCGAUAUAAACUCCAAGUUAACAAUCCGAUGAUCGAAAAAAAUUGGGGGGACGAAAUUGUCAAAAUUGAAAAGAUAGUGAUUUACUUCGCCACAUUUCAAAAGUUACGUUAAAAUUGUUAAUUCGAAAUAGUUCAUGAUUUUAUUUGCCAAAACCCCAAAUUUUAUCCAUUUUAAUUUUUUAAAGUGUAUUUUUUUAAAUUUAAAUGGUAUUAUAAUCGUGUUAAUAUUUAUUUUAAUUUAUUUUUAUUUUUUAAUUUAAUUAUUAAUUUUAUUUUAUAAAAACAUUUGGACCCCCC